Molecule: non-coding RNA, 46 nt
Filed under: Trichobilharzia regenti
Lineage: Eukaryota; Metazoa; Platyhelminthes; Trematoda; Strigeidida; Schistosomatidae
Source: RNAcentral
GUACUGAUGAAGAGUCCCAAACUAGGACGAAAAAUCUGUCCAGUAC